AGUGAACGCUGGCGGCAGGCCUAAUACAUGCAAGUCGAACGAACAGAUAGUGAGCUUUCGCCUCUAACGGUAGCGACUGACGGAUGAGUGAGGCGUGGAUAACCUACCUAUAAUACUGGGGGAACUUCGUGAGGCCACAUCUAAUACCAUAUAAUAUGUUAAACGGCAGAGAGCAAUAGUUAAUGACAGUUUGGCUGUCACUUAGAGAUGGAGCCGCGCCGCAUUGGCUAGUUGGUAAGGUAACGGCUUACCAAGGCAACGAUGCGUAGCCGACCUGAGAGGGUGAUCGGCCACACUGGAACUGAGACACGGUCCAGACUCCUACGGGAGGCAGCAGUAGGGAAUAUUGCGCAAUGGGCGCAAGCCUGACGCAGCAACGCCGCGUGAGUGAUGAAGGUCUUCGGAUCGUAAAACCCUGUUAUUAGGGAAGAAAAACUGUGUAAGAAAACAUGCACGUUCUGACGGUACCCAAUCAGAAAGCACCGGCUAACUACGUG
This 497-nucleotide ribosomal RNA is filed under the name uncultured bacterium. Its description in RNAcentral is "partial 16S ribosomal RNA". It matches the Rfam family "Bacterial small subunit ribosomal RNA", at positions 29 to 507 of the family's 1533-position model. The record is from RNAcentral.